UAGAGCAUCAACAACAAAAGCAGCAAGUCUAACAUUAUGUAAAUUACUUUAGGGUUGUAUAGAGCAUCAACCACAACAACAAAAGCAGCAAGUCUAACAUUAUGUAAAUUACUUUAGGGUUGUAUAGAGCAUCAACCACAACAACAAAAGCAGCAAGUCUAACAUUAUGUAAAUUACUUUAGGGUUGUAUAGAGCAUCAACCACAACAACAAAAGCAGCAAGUCUAACAUUAUGUAAAUUACUUUAGGAUUGUAUAGAGCAUCAACCACAACAACAAAAGCAGCAAGUCUAACAUUAUGUAAAUUACUUUAGGGUUGUAUAGAGCAUCAACCACAACAACAAAAGCAGCAAGUCUAACAUUAUGUAAAUGACUUUAGGGUUGUAUAGAGCAUCAACCACAACAACAAAAGCAGCAAGUCUAACAUUAUGUAAAUUACUUUAGAAUUGUAUAGAGCAUCAACCACAACAACAAAAGCAGCAAGUCUAACAUUAUGUAAAUUACUUUAGAAUUGUAUAGAGCAUCAACCACAACAACAAAAGCAGCAAGUCUAACAUUAUGUAAAUUACUUUAGAAUUGUAUAGAGCAUCAACCACAACAACAAAAGCAGCAAGUCUAACAUUAUGUAAAUUACUUUAGGGUUGUAUAGAGCAUCAACCACAACAACAAAAGCAGCAAGUCUAACAUUAUGUAAAUUACUUUAGAAUUGUAUAGAGCAUCAACCACAAUAACAAAAGCAGCAAGUCUAACAUUAUGUAAAUGACUUUAGGGUUGUAUAGAGCAUCAACCACAACAACAAAAGCAGCAAGUCUAACAUUAUGUAAAUUACUUUAGGGUUGUAUAGAGCAUCAACCACAACAACAAAAGCAGCAAGUCUAACAUUAUGUAAAUGACUUUAGGAUUGUAUAGAGCAUCAACCACAACAACAAAAGCAGCAAGUCUAACAUUAUGUAAAUGACUUUAGGGUUGUAUAGAGCAUCAACCACAACAACAAAAGCAGCAAGUCUAACAUUAUGUAAAUUACUUUAGGGUUGUAUAGAGCAUCAACCACAACAACAAAAGCAGCAAGUCUAACAUUAUGU
Oncorhynchus keta (chum salmon) is the source of this 1080-nucleotide long non-coding RNA. RefSeq lists it as uncharacterized. NCBI's taxonomy places the organism in Eukaryota, Metazoa, Chordata, Actinopteri, Salmoniformes, Salmonidae. The record is from RefSeq and is a predicted model, not a curated record. The transcript has 4 exons.